Molecule: long non-coding RNA, 601 nt
Filed under: Rattus norvegicus (Norway rat)
Lineage: Eukaryota; Metazoa; Chordata; Mammalia; Rodentia; Muridae
Description: long non-coding RNA NONRATT028507
Source: RNAcentral
GUCUGCCAAGCUGAAAUGUUCCAGGCAUUCUGUAAAUGCUCUUAAGACUAAACCAAGGUGGUACUCCUGAUGACACAGCACAGAAGCAGUAGUUACAGCUGGAAGAUGUGGCUACAGCUUUCUGAGGCACAUUCCCUUAACCACUCACUGCCAUAUUUCUGCAUUGCUGCUACUGCAUUAAAGUGCAAGCUACAAAUGCUUAUAGAAAUAAGUUAGGAUGGUUUUGUUUCUGACACAUCUAAACAUACAUUUAUUUAUUUGUUUGUUUGUUUAUUAUGUAUAUAUACAUCAUACAGCUUUCUGCCUGCGUGUAUGUGCCUGCAGGCCAGAAGAGGGCACCAGACCUGAUUAUAGAUGGUUGUGAGCCACCAUGUGGUUGUUGGGAAUUGAACUCAGGACCUCUGGAAGAACAGUCAGUGCUCUUAAUCACUGAGCCAUCUCUCCAGCCCGUUUCUGACCCAUCUAAUGAAACGUUUUUCACUACCCAAACUCACACAGGCCUUGCCUUUGUGGGUUGCCUAAAAGGCCCUUUUAGAUUAUUUUUAGAUAAGGCCUCCUUGUGUUGUACAGGCUGGUCUGAGCCUACAGGAAUUACAGAACA